GUGCCAGCAGCCGCGGUAAUACGGAGGGGGUUAGCGUUGUUCGGAAUUACUGGGCGUAAAGCGCGCGUAGGCGGAUUGGAAAGUUGGGGGUGAAAUCCCGGGGCUCAACCCCGGAACUGCCUCCAAAACUCCCAGUCUUGAGUUCGAGAGAGGUGAGUGGAAUUCCGAGUGUAGAGGUGAAAUUCGUAGAUAUUCGGAGGAACACCAGUGGCGAAGGCGGCUCACUGGCUCGAUACUGACGCUGAGGUGCGAAAGUGUGGGGAGCAAACAGGAUUAGAUACCCGCGUAGUCCC
RNAcentral lists this ribosomal RNA (293 nucleotides) under uncultured Leisingera sp. Its description in RNAcentral is "partial 16S ribosomal RNA". It matches the Rfam family "Bacterial small subunit ribosomal RNA", at positions 505 to 797 of the family's 1533-position model. The record is from RNAcentral. Lineage: Bacteria; Pseudomonadati; Pseudomonadota; Alphaproteobacteria; Rhodobacterales; Roseobacteraceae.